Molecule: long non-coding RNA, 685 nt
Filed under: Mus musculus (house mouse)
Lineage: Eukaryota; Metazoa; Chordata; Mammalia; Rodentia; Muridae
Description: RIKEN cDNA 2610307P16 gene
Source: RNAcentral
GAUAGAACUAUGCUGUAAACUUUGGCAUGAAUCAAGCAUGCUGAUACUCUCUCAAACAGCAACUUUUUCUUUCUCUCCCCCCUCCCGCUUUUUUUUUUUUGGCACAGAGUCAUUCGUUUGAGGCUGGGGGAGAGGAACAGAAAGACUAAAUAAAAUGUGGUACAGUGGUUCUAGAAAUGAUUUGAUCUGGUCCAGUAAAGGUCCAGAGUUCACCGACUGGACCUGAAGGACCCAAGUGAGAAUAAGGUCAGGAGCCAGUUUUUGAAAGUGGUGAGCAGACGUCAGGACUUGAAGGCCUGCUUGCUCUUUUUCUGUUACUGUCAUAACGUCUUGGACAGAAUCUACCCUAGGAAAACACUGUCAGUGCCUAUCAUCCAGUAACCAACCCAGGAAGUUCUUGUAAGCAUGCAUUUCUUAGUCAACACUGAAUGCCUUUAGACCGAGGUCAACCUUUUCAGCUGGUACCGUGGUUUACACUGCUGUGCCAGCUGUGGCUAAUGUGUCAGCCUUUCCGUCACCUGAUUCCCAACAUUCAAGGGUUCAUAACGAGACUGCUGAGUUUCACCGCAAACUGAAGCUUGGUAUGGGAGAAUCGAGCCCGAAGCAAACUUUUUCAUUACAAAAAGUAGUUUCUCUAUAAAACCACUAAUAAAGAAGCAAAGCUAGUGAUUAUUGUUGAACAGAA